GAUGAACGCUAGCGGCAGGCCUAAUACAUGCAAGUCGAGGGGUAGAGCUAGCUUGCUAGCUUGAGACCGGCGCACGGGUGCGUAACGCGUAUGCAACCUACCUCAAUCAGGGGGAUAGCCCGGAGAAAUCCGGAUUAACACCGCAUAAAAACACAGGGUAGCAUUACCCAAUGCUCAAAUAUUCAUAGGAGUGGGAUGGGCAUGCGUGCCAUUAGCUAGUUGGCGGGGUAACGGCCCACCAAGGCGACGAUGGCUAGGGGAUCUGAGAGGAUGACCCCCCACACUGGUACUGAGACACGGACCAGACUCCUACGGGAGGCAGCAGUAAGGAAUAUUGGUCAAUGGGGGCAACCCUGAACCAGCCAUGCCGCGUGCAGGAUGACGGCCCUCCGGGUUGUAAACUGCUUUUGUACGGGAAUAAACCUUUCUUCGUGAAGAAAGCUGAAUGUACCGUAAGAAUAAGGAUCGGCUAACUCCGUGCCAGCAGCCGCCGCAG
RNAcentral lists this ribosomal RNA (496 nucleotides) under uncultured bacterium. Its description in RNAcentral is "partial 16S ribosomal RNA". It matches the Rfam family "Bacterial small subunit ribosomal RNA", at positions 28 to 523 of the family's 1533-position model. The record is from RNAcentral.